Molecule: microRNA precursor, 129 nt
Filed under: Mustela putorius furo (domestic ferret)
Lineage: Eukaryota; Metazoa; Chordata; Mammalia; Carnivora; Mustelidae
Description: miRNA (ENSMPUG00000022854.1)
Source: RNAcentral
AAUGCCCAGGAGAUUUGAAUGUAGAAUAAACAAUGAAUAAUUGUAAGUGUGAGUACAUCCAAUGCAAUAUUUGGGACAUACUUAUACUAAAAAAAAUUGUUAUCUGAAAAUAAAAUUUAGCUGGACAUC